RNAcentral lists this ribosomal RNA (450 nucleotides) under uncultured bacterium. Its description in RNAcentral is "bacterial SSU rRNA". It matches the Rfam family "Bacterial small subunit ribosomal RNA", at positions 354 to 796 of the family's 1533-position model. The record is from RNAcentral.
GUGGGGAAUAUUGGACAAUGGGCGAAAGCCUGAUCCAGCCAUGCCGCGUGUGUGAAGAAGGUCUUCGGAUUGUAAAGCACUUUAAGUUGGGAGGAAGGGCAGUAAGUUAAUACCUUGCUGUUUUGACGUUACCGACAGAAUAAGCACCGGCUAACUUCGUGCCAGCAGCCGCGGUAAUACGAAGGGUGCAAGCGUUAAUCGGAAUUACUGGGUGUAAAGCGCGCGUAGGUGGUUUUGUAAGUUGGAGGUGAAAUCCCCGGGCUCAACCUGGGAACUGCCUCCAAAACUGCAUGACUAGAGUACGGUAGAGGGUAGUGGAAUUUCCUGUGUAGCGGUGAAAUGCGUAGAUAUAGGAAGGAACACCAGUGGCGAAGGCGACUACCUGGACUGAUACUGACACUGAGGUGCGAAAGCGUGGGGAGCAAACAGGAUUAGAAACCCUAGUAGUCC